UACAGAGGGUGCGAGCGUUGUUCGGAAUUAUGGGGCGUAAAGGGCGCGUAGGCGGUGCGGUAAGUCACCUGUGAAAUCUCCUGGCUCAACUGGGAGCUUGCAGGCGAAACUGCCGUGCUGGAGUGUGGGAGAGGUGCGUGGAAUUCCCGGUGUAGAGGUGAAAUUCGUAGAUAUCGGGAGGAACACCAGUGGCGAAGGCGGAGACCUGGGCCAAUACUGACGCUGAGGUGCGGAAGCGUGGGGAGCAAACAGG
This 253-nucleotide ribosomal RNA is filed under the name uncultured bacterium. RNAcentral's name for it is "partial 16S ribosomal RNA". It matches the Rfam family "Bacterial small subunit ribosomal RNA", at positions 524 to 776 of the family's 1533-position model. The record is from RNAcentral.